GUCUCUCUCCUUUCAGGGUUCAACCUCCAACCUUAUUUCUGCUUCCUUCAUGUUGGAAUUCACACUGUGAGUGCUGCUACCAUAUUCUGCGUUGGAUGUGAGUUCUCAAGUUCUGGUCCAUGGGGAAUGGGCAGGUGAAGAUGAGAAUUGCAAAAAACUAUACUCCGACCAAUAGAAUUGUUGUCAUCCUUUCUUUACGACUCCAAGAGAAACUUUAUACUGGAGGAAGAAUAUUCUACCACUUUGGGAUGCUUCCAAAGAAAUGGGACACCAAAGGAGUGAACUUCAGGUCAUUGGAAGUGGCCAAGCUGGAGGGCGACCUAUGGAGACAUGACCUUCAGUUCUUCCUGAGAUCAAUAAAGCUUAAAAGAAAAGAAAAAGCCAACUCAGCUUGUGCGUGGAUCCUGGACCUUGCUCUAAUACAGACCCCGCUCCUGGAGUGUAA
RNAcentral lists this long non-coding RNA (445 nucleotides) under Pan troglodytes (chimpanzee). Its description in RNAcentral is "lincRNA". The record is from RNAcentral. Lineage: Eukaryota; Metazoa; Chordata; Mammalia; Primates; Hominidae.